AGUUAGUAUAUUUUAUAAGUAUUUUAAGGAUACUGUGAAACAGUAUUAUUUAUGUGUAGGUCAAAGCACAGAUUAAUGACGUGAGCUACCUGAAUGACUUAGUCAUCUGAAAGUGCUUCCGAGGAUGGUGAUGUCUGUACUCUAAGAAUUCCACGUUGCAAGUAGAACCACUUGGCUUGAGGUAUAAAGAUUGUGUUAGCUUGUUGAAAAUUUGGGAUGCAAUUCUUUUGUGUGAAAGAUAAAUGGAACUUUAAAAAAGCCACUGUGAACUACUUAGAGGAGAAAUUAAAAAACUGGAAAAUAAGUUUGACCUUAAAGCAAGAAGAAGAGAAUAGAAGAAAUGCUGAUAUGUUAUAUGAAAAAAUUAGGGAGCAAUUAAGAAGAAAGGAAGACCAAUAUAGUAAAGAAGUUGAAAUGAACAGCAACUAGAACUCACUCUCAGAGCUCUAGAUGGAACUGAAGACUGAGAAAUAAUCUGAAUCAGGUAGAGUAAUUGUUGGUGAAAAUUUCUAGCACCAUUUUGUCAAUAUUAUUUAUAAUAUCCCUUUUAUUUCAUAUGUAUUAUUUAGAUUUCAAACAAAAUGUUAUCUCAACCUAGGAAUGAACUGUGACAUUCAGAGUUUAUGUGAUGAGUUUCUUGCCAUUCUUGGCUUCUAGUAGAUGCUGUGUAUGUGUUUUCUGCGUGGAGG
RNAcentral lists this long non-coding RNA (689 nucleotides) under Bos mutus (wild yak). Its description in RNAcentral is "lncRNA (ENSBMUG00000003717.1)". Lineage: Eukaryota; Metazoa; Chordata; Mammalia; Artiodactyla; Bovidae. The record is from RNAcentral.